This 488-nucleotide ribosomal RNA is filed under the name uncultured bacterium. RNAcentral's name for it is "partial 16S ribosomal RNA". It matches the Rfam family "Bacterial small subunit ribosomal RNA", at positions 28 to 507 of the family's 1533-position model. The record is from RNAcentral.
GACGAACGCUGGCGGCGUGCUUAACACAUGCAAGUCGAACGGAAAGACGCUGCGUUUGUUGGUUUCUCGAUUGGCGAACGGGUGAGUAACACGUGAGUAACCUGCCCUUAACUGUGUGGUAACUUCAGGGAACUCGGGCGCAUACCCGGUAUGAUCUCCUGCUGCAUGUGGUGGGUUGGAAAAUGUCGGCGUUUGGGGAUGUACUCGCUGCGUGUCAGCUUGUUUGUGUGGUAGUGACUUACCAGGGCUUUGACGGGUAGCCGGCCUGAGAGGGUGAUCGGCCACACGGGAGGUUAGACACGGCCCGGGGACCUACGGGAGGCCCCGGUAGGGAAGCGGCGGCAGUGGGCGGAAGCCUUACGGAGCGACGCCGCGUGAGUGAUGAAAGGCUUCGGAUCGGAAAACUCUGUUAUGAGGGAAGAACAAUUGUGUAAGUAACUAUGCACGUCGUGACGGUACCUAAUCAGAAAGCCACGGCUAACCACGUG